This 1276-nucleotide long non-coding RNA is filed under the name Cottoperca gobio. RNAcentral describes it as "lncRNA (ENSCGOG00000005428.1)". Lineage: Eukaryota; Metazoa; Chordata; Actinopteri; Perciformes; Bovichtidae. The record is from RNAcentral.
AUUUCUCUGCAGCUCUUCUCGCCUUCUCUAUCUGCGCAGCGGUGCAGGAAGUGUACGCUGAAAGUGAAACACUGACUAAAGUGUGAGAGAUUAAAGAUGAGAUUCCUGCAUGUGUGUGUGUGUGCGUGUGUGUGUGUGUGUGUGUGUGUGUGUGUGUGUGUGUGUGUGUGUGUUUGUCAGAGGUGAAGAGUGCCCCCCCCCCCCUCCUCUCUAUAUGUGACGUAUGGGAGUGAAACAUAGAUGCUUUACAGGAAAUAUGCCAAGUUGGACUUUUUAUGUCAGGGUGCCAUUGCUUUCUUUUACAAAGCUGCCUCACACACACACUCACACACACCCUCCCACACACACACACACACACACACACACACACACACACACACACACACACACACUCACACACACACUCACACACACACACUCACACACACACACACACCACACACACACCACUCACACACACACACACACUCACACACACCACCACACACACACACACUCACACACACACACCCACACACACACACACACACCACACUACACACACACACCACCACACACAAUCACUCACACACCACACACACACACACUCACACACACACACACACUCACAACACACACACACACACACACCACACUCACUCACACACACACACACACCACACACACACACCCACACACACACUAGCACACACUCACCACACCAACACACACACCACACACACACACACACACACCACUCACACACCACACUCACUCACACACACACACACACACACACUCACACACACACACACACCACACACACACCACACACACACACACACACACACACACACACACACACACACACCACACACACACACACACACACACACACACACACCAGCACACACACACACCACACACACACCACUCACCCACACACACAAACACACACCACACACACUCACCACACACGCGCACACACACACACUCACACACACAACACACCACACACACUCACACACACACACACACACACACACACACACACACACACCACAUCAGGACACACACACACACACACCUCACAACACACCCACCACACACACACUCAGACACCCCCCCCCCCCCCACACACACUCAUCACACACCACACAACACUCACAACACACACAAUCCAGACACACACCCACACACCACACAACACACUUUCAGACACACUCACACACAGACACACACACUCACACCAGACACACACACUCACACACACACACACUCAGACACACUCACACAC